CCUGGCUCAGAUUGAACGCUGGCGGCAUGCUUUACACAUGCAAGUCGAACGGCAGCGGGGGCUUCGGCCUGCCGGCGAGUGGCGAACGGGUGAGUAAUGCAUCGGAACGUGCCCAUGUCGUGGGGGAUAACGUAGCGAAAGCUACGCUAAUACCGCAUACGCCCCUGAGGGGGAAAGCGGGGGAUUCUUCGGAACCUCGCGCGAUUGGAGCGGCCGAUGUCGGAUUAGCUAGUAGGUGAGGUAAAGGCUCACCUAGGCGACGAUCCGUAGCGGGUCUGAGAGGAUGAUCCGCCACACUGGGACUGAGACACGGCCCAGACUCCUACGGGAGGCAGCAGUGGGGAAUUUUGGACAAUGGGCGCAAGCCUGAUCCAGCCAUGCCGCGUGAGUGAAGAAGGCCUUCGGGUUGUAAAGCUCUUUCGGCCGGGAAGAAAUCGUGGUCUCUAACAUAGGCCAUGGAUGACGGUACCGGAC
This 474-nucleotide ribosomal RNA is filed under the name uncultured bacterium. Its description in RNAcentral is "bacterial SSU rRNA". It matches the Rfam family "Bacterial small subunit ribosomal RNA", at positions 18 to 483 of the family's 1533-position model. The record is from RNAcentral.